Molecule: ribosomal RNA, 497 nt
Filed under: uncultured bacterium
Lineage: Bacteria
Description: partial 16S ribosomal RNA
Rfam family: Bacterial small subunit ribosomal RNA
Source: RNAcentral
GAUGAACGCUGGCGGCGUGCCUAAUACAUGCAAGUCGAGCGAACAGACGAGGAGCUUGCUCCUCUGACGUUAGCGGCGGACGGGUGAGUAACACGUGGAUAACCUACCUAUAAGACUGGGAUAACUUCGGGAAACCGGAGCUAAUACCGGAUAAUAUAUUGAACCGCAUGGUUCAAUAGUGAAAGACGGUUUUGCUGUCACUUAUAGAUGGAUCCGCGCCGCAUUAGCUAGUUGGUAAGGUAACGGCUUACCAAGGCGACGAUGCGUAGCCGACCUGAGAGGAUGAUCAGCGACACUGGAACUGAGACACGGUCCAGACUCGUACGGGAGGCAGAAGUGGGGAAUAUUGGAAAAUGGGCGGAAGCCUGAUCCAGCCAUACCGCGUGGGUGAAGAAGGACUUCGGGUUGUAAAGCCCUUUUGUUGGGAAAGAAAAGAAGCAGGUUAAUACCCCGCUGUUCUGACGGUACCCAAAGAAUAAGCACCGGCUAAAUUCGUG